RNAcentral lists this ribosomal RNA (253 nucleotides) under uncultured bacterium. RNAcentral's name for it is "partial 16S ribosomal RNA". It matches the Rfam family "Bacterial small subunit ribosomal RNA", at positions 524 to 776 of the family's 1533-position model. The record is from RNAcentral.
UACGUAGGGCGCAAGCGUUGUCCGGAAUUAUUGGGCGUAAAGAGCUCGUAGGCGGUUUGUCACGUCGGAUGUGAAAGCCCGGGGCUUAACCCCGGGUCUGCAUUCGAUACGGGCAGACUGGAGUGUGGUAGGGGAGAUCGGAAUUCCUGGUGUAGCGGUGAAAUGCGCAGAUAUCGGGAGGAACACCAGUGGCGAAGGCGGCACUCUGGGCCGGUACUGACGCUGAGGAGCGAAAGCGUGGGGAGCGAACAGG